Molecule: microRNA precursor, 84 nt
Filed under: Procavia capensis (Cape rock hyrax)
Lineage: Eukaryota; Metazoa; Chordata; Mammalia; Hyracoidea; Procaviidae
Description: miRNA (ENSPCAG00000018956.1)
Source: RNAcentral
UAAGAAGUAAAAAUUCUCAGGUCCUACACCAGACCUGCUGAGUCAGAAGUUCUGGGAGUGGUGCCCAGGAAUCUGCAUUUUAAC